This 318-nucleotide long non-coding RNA is filed under the name Hordeum vulgare. Its description in RNAcentral is "long non-coding RNA (HVUL_LNC003100)". Lineage: Eukaryota; Viridiplantae; Streptophyta; Magnoliopsida; Poales; Poaceae. The record is from RNAcentral.
GUGCUUUUAUUAGUACAGAUGAUUUACCUAAUGAUUAAAAGUGCUAAACAAUUAAUCUACAACAAUAAAAACAUCUACUAAAAUAUUGUGAAAUGAGAUAGUAUAUUAUGCGUAUCUAAUACGUGAAAAAUAGUCCGAAAAACAAAUUCCCAAGCUUUUUUAAGCCAGGAUAUACGUUUUUACGAGAAAAAAAUGGACAACCAGCCGAAUCAGACUAUUCCCAGCCGGCCCGACCACUUUUAUUUUUAGCUAGCCCGACAGCCACCCUUUUUUUUCUAAAGCCCGUCAAGCCGGCCUGGCCAGCAACAAGCAACCCAC